Molecule: ribosomal RNA, 475 nt
Filed under: uncultured bacterium
Lineage: Bacteria
Description: partial 16S ribosomal RNA
Rfam family: Bacterial small subunit ribosomal RNA
Source: RNAcentral
GAUGAACGCUGGCGGCGUGCUUAACACAUGCAAGUCGAACGAUGAACCUCACUUGUGGGGGGAUUAGUGGCGAACGGGUGAGUAACGCGUGAGUAACCUGCCCUUGACUCUGGGAUAAGCCUGGGAAACCGGGUCUAAUACUGGAUACGACCUUCUGGCGCAUGCCAUGUUGGUGGAAAGCUUUUGUGGUUUUGGAUGGACUCGCGGCCUAUCAGCUUGUUGGUGGGGUAAUGGCCUACCAAGGCGACGACGGGUAGCCGGCCUGAGAGGGUGACCGGCCACACUGGGACUGAGACACGGCCCAGACUCCUACGGGAGGCAGCAGUGGGGAAUAUUGCACAAUGGGCGCAAGCCUGAUGCAGCGACGCCGCGUGAGGGAUGAAGGCCUUCGGGUUGUAAACCUCUUUCAGUAGGGAAGAAGCCGGCUUUUGGGUUGGUGACGGUACCUGCAGAAGAAGCGCCGGCUAACUACGUG